UGUAGUGCCAAUGUAAUCUAUGGGAGUUGUACCUUGUCAUCCGUACCAGCAGGUGUGUGUUUGGUGUUAGUGUAGUGCCAAUGUAAUCUAUGGGAGUUGUACCUUGUCAUCCGUACCAGCAGGUGUGUGUUUGGUGUUAGUGUAGUGCCAAUGUAAUCUAUGGGAGUUGUACCUUGUCAUCCGUACCAGCAGGUGUGUGUUUGGUGUUAGUGUAGUGCCAAUGUAAUCUAUGGGAGUUGUACCUUGUCAUCCGUACCAGCAGGUGUGUGUUUGGUGUUAGUGUAGUGCCAAUGUAAUCUAUGGGAGUUGUACCUUGUCAUCCGUACCAGCAGGUGUGUGUUUGGUGUUAGUGUAGUGCCAAUGUAAUCUAUGGGAGUUGUACCUUGUCAUCCGUACCAGCAGGUGUGUGUUUGGUGUUAGUGUAGUGCCAAUGUAAUC
Long non-coding RNA from Oncorhynchus keta (chum salmon), 438 nucleotides. RefSeq lists it as uncharacterized. The record is from RefSeq and is a predicted model, not a curated record. The transcript has 3 exons. NCBI's taxonomy places the organism in Eukaryota, Metazoa, Chordata, Actinopteri, Salmoniformes, Salmonidae.